GAUGAACGCUGGCGGCGUGCCUAAUACAUGCAAGUCGAGCGAACAGACGAGGAGCUUGCUCCUCUGACGUUAGCGGCGGACGGGUGAGUAACACGUGGAUAACCUACCUAUAAGACUGGGAUAACUUCGGGAAACCGGAGCUAAUACCGGAUAAUAUAUUGAACCGCAUGGUUCAAUAGUGAAAGACGGUUUUGCUGUCACUUAUAGAUGGAUCCGCGCCGCAUUAGCUAGUUGGUAAGGUAACGGCUUACCAAGGCAACGAUGCGUAGCCGACCUGAGAGGGUGAUCGGCCACACUGGAACUGAGACACGGUCCAGACUCCUACGGGAGGCAGCAGUAGGGAAUCUUCCGCAAUGGGCGAAAGCCUGACGGAGCAACGCCGCGUGAGUGAUGAAGGUCUCCGGAUCGUAAAACUCUGUUAUUAGGGAAGAACAAAUGUGUAAGUAACUAUGCACGUCUUGACGGUACCUAAUCAGAAAGCCACAGCUAACUACGUG
Molecule: ribosomal RNA, 497 nt
Filed under: uncultured bacterium
Lineage: Bacteria
Description: partial 16S ribosomal RNA
Rfam family: Bacterial small subunit ribosomal RNA
Source: RNAcentral